This 301-nucleotide ribosomal RNA is filed under the name uncultured bacterium. Its description in RNAcentral is "partial 16S ribosomal RNA". It matches the Rfam family "Bacterial small subunit ribosomal RNA", at positions 509 to 807 of the family's 1533-position model. The record is from RNAcentral.
CAGCAGCCGCGGUAAUACGUAGGUGGCAAGCGUUGUCCGGAAUUAUUGGGCGUAAAGGGCUCGCAGGCGGUUUGAUAAGUCAUCUGUGAAAUCCCUGGGCUCAACCCAGAGUCUGCAGGCGAAACUGUCGAGCUUGAGUAUUGGAGAGGUGAGUGGAAUUUCCGGUGUAGCGGUGAAAUGCGUAGAUAUCGGAAGGAACACCUGUGGCGAAAGCGGCUCACUGGACAAUUACUGACGCUGAUGCACGAAAGCUAGGGGAGCAAACAGGAUUAGAUACCCGAGUAGUCCCUGUCUCUUAUAC